Non-coding RNA from Physcomitrium patens, 2182 nucleotides. Lineage: Eukaryota; Viridiplantae; Streptophyta; Bryopsida; Funariales; Funariaceae. The record is from RefSeq and is a predicted model, not a curated record.
UUAGGGUUAAAAAUGCCAGUUUUGUAAGCACACCACCUAAGUUACUGGAUGACUUUGGAUUCUGUGACCAAGCUUUGUUUGUUUGUUUGUUUGUUUGUGGGCUGCAGAGCGAAAUGUCUGUCCAUUUAUUCUGUGCCUAGAAUGGGCUGCUGGUGCUGUACCCACACUUAGUCUCACAAGCUUUGAACGCUCAGUUUGUUACAGUGGAAGAAUUCUUGCUCUAGAUCUCUUUCUGGAUGGUGAUUUUUGUUAAAUCCCUUUUUCUUUUUUGGCUUGGAAUCUUGUUUCAUCAACUAGGUACUGGUCUCAGAAUGGAAGGUAGUUUUUUAGCUGAAUUUUGUUGCUUCAGUUCGUGCUUGUUAGUGAGACUCUGAACGAGGAUUGUGUGUUCUCGGUUGGAAGGGUUUAGUACAGAGGACUGUAGGUCUCUCUACCCUUGAGUUGGAGAAUUGGGUCCCAUGUGAGUCGUGUCGGAACAUGGGCUUUGUAGGCGUUUUGCUUUGAAAGAGUGUUCUGUUGUGUUGUGUGCUGUGGAAUGGAGUUGUAGGGUUCUGCUGGAAAUACAGGAGUGAAGAGCAAGGGGUGGCUGUUGAAGCAAUGACACAGCAGCAGCAACCAUUGGUGGCCAGCAAAGCUUGUACCCCGAGCAUGGAAGUGUGAGCUGCUGCAUCGUGUGAGACUGUGAUGGCUUGUCAAGUCUCAGCUCGCUCCAGAAACCCUUGCGUCUCCUCACUGCGGUGUAAAGACUCUGGCAACUUUGCUCAAAGGUUUGUGUCCGGAAGGUUGUGAGGAUUAUACUGCUGUUCUUCUCCAUCUUCUUUUCUUAAUCUUUUAAUUUGUCAUGGUCGUGAAGAUCAGGGUUGAUCUUCUCAUGUAGCUGUUUGAACAGUGGCUAUGACCGUAACAUGAAAUGGAAAACCAUAGAUUGAGCAUAUGUGGGUUUCCUUUAAAAUGCAGAACCUGUGAUGAUUAUUAUGAAGCAACUCAUUGGACAACAAUAAAUUGCACGAACUUUAACCAUGAAUUAUGGGUAAUCCAUAUCAAAGAACGCGGAUCCAUGCUGAGUACUGGAAGGCAUAGAUCAGUUGAUUACCUUGCGACUUGGUCCAGUCAGUCAUAGAUGAACCUCCAAGAAGGCAGCUUCUUUCACCAUCCUUCUCCUGUGACGCUUGAACUCUUCUCAGAUUGCUCACCGCAGGUACAAUUACGAUCAAUACUGAUCAGCUCACGACUGCAUUUGCAGUCUCUUGCGAAUGAGCUGAGGAGAUGAUUUGAACUGUCAGAUUGUAGCCGAGUCUGCUAAGUGGUGGGUUGAAUUUAGGGCUGCUUGAGAAAGUUGUGAGGUAGCGUUGCAUAUUGUGGCCCCCAUCGAAAUUAGAAAGUCGCAAUUGGAGAUUGUUAAGUGAAGGCAAGAAUAGGACGCAGAUUUAAUCUAUUUUAUUUUAAUGUUUUCAUUCUUGUAAUCUCUUCCUUAGGGAUGAUUAUUUAUUUAUUUAUUUACAUAUUUUUUCAUUUUGUAUUCCUGAUUAAACUAAUUACGUCACCGUUUCUAUCUACUCAUGUUUUAAUUUUCAAUUUUUGAUUCUUCUUUUUUCUUUUUAUUGUCAUGUGUUUCACCAUGUUCACAACCGACCUGACCCCUUCGUGAACGUAUUCAUAAUUAAUUAUCUGGGACCAAAUUUUUGCAAGAUGCUUUACUUGCGGAAUAUCCUGGAGGGAGGAUUCCUGGCUGAAGGCUGAAGUUUAAGGCGGGUCACUUUUAACGUUGGACAUCCCCCACUCUACAAUGAGAUGCGCAAUUUUAAUCCACCUGGCCAGAGAUCCUUGAUUUGAGGCGGUGUCUUCUUAUCGAGGACGGUUCCGUGUGCAUAAAAUUGGGGUUCUGUUAUAUGCCAAGUUGUACAGAUUUUUCUUGAGAGGACUUCUUAUGCAACGAGAAAAUUAUAGUUUUAAUUUGGAAUUUGGUUUAUUGAGGGCUAAACAUUGAAGAGUUAACAGUUUUAAGUAGCUGCAGGGUUCAACUUCACCAAUUUAGGGGUUCAGUUAGGUAGUUCGACCUAUUAUCACUUUGUGAAUUUGUGAACAACUUUGAGGGAGACUAGUUACGCUAGGGUUUGCCAUGCAGGUUUAUCAAACAAUUUAAAAUAUAUAUAUAGUGACGGAUGGUACUGAUUAAAUUUAA